CGAAGGAAGUAAUCUGUGCACCUGUCUAUCUGGAUCAAUCACCAUCUCUGUGAUGAUCCUAUAAUAAGAUAUAAUUUAAGAAUUAACUAUCAAUGACACAUGUCUCAAAUUCUCAAUUCUUUAAGAAUAUGUGUCAUCAUUUUAUUAAUCCCUUGGAUGAUUCAUGGAUACAUAAAUAUGAAUGGUAAUAUAAUUGCCCAAUAAGUACAAAAUCAUAUCCUAGAGAUAUAAAAUGUAUCAGCCAAGAUUGGCUUCUAGGGUAUACAUCCAAC
Molecule: long non-coding RNA, 272 nt
Filed under: Elaeis guineensis (African oil palm)
Lineage: Eukaryota; Viridiplantae; Streptophyta; Magnoliopsida; Arecales; Arecaceae
Description: long non-coding RNA (EGUI_LNC069035)
Source: RNAcentral